AUCAUUAACUGAAUCCAUAGGUUAAUGAGGCGAACCGGGGGAACUGAAACAUCUAAGUACCCCGAGGAAAAGAAAUCAACCGAGAUUCCCCCAGUAGCGGCGAGCGAACGGGGAGGAGCCCAGAGCCUGAAUCAGUGUGUGUGUUAGUGGAAGCGUCUGGAAAGGCGCGCGAUACAGGGUGACAGCCCCGUACACAAAAAUGCACAUAUUGUGAGCUCGAUGAGUAGGGCGGGACACGUGGUAUCCUGUCUG
Molecule: ribosomal RNA, 252 nt
Filed under: Escherichia coli
Lineage: Bacteria; Pseudomonadati; Pseudomonadota; Gammaproteobacteria; Enterobacterales; Enterobacteriaceae
Description: partial 23S ribosomal RNA
Rfam family: Bacterial large subunit ribosomal RNA
Source: RNAcentral